ACAAAAUCAACCAACGACUUCAAUACCAACAGUCCGGCGAAACCCAUCCUCGAACAAUACCGGCAACCUGUCAAAUCUGAAGAACCAACCAAUUCCAGCAAAAAACUCAACUCCGACCCAAACUCGUUCAGGUUCAAAUCGAAUUCGAUUCAAUCCAAUGACAAUGGCCCUUAAAUCAUGAAAAUCUCUCUUUUUUCAUCUUAUCUCAGAAUUUUGUAGACCUCGAACCUCGAUAUUUAACUUUAGUUCAAGAUGGGUGUGCUCUUUACUCCAAAAUCUCAUCCAAAUCAGAAGCAUCACAAUUAAUCCGAAUUUGUGGGAUAUGUUUUCACUCCCUUUUUCAACUUUUUAUCAAAUUCCCAACCACUUUCUAUCACUAAAACAGACUCUAUUUUGAAUUUUAAUGGAGAUUUUUUCGAUACAAAUAGGAGCGGAUGCUUUCGUUUGAAGGGAUUCUUAGAGGAAUUUUUGGUGAAAAAUUAGGGAUUUUGAAGGAGGGUUUCUUUAAUCCUAUGUAAUCAAGAAUUUCAGAAGAAACUAAUUCAAAACUCGAUCCCAAUGAAAAUUGAACUCCUACAAAUCGGAGUCGAAAGUCCGAUGGUGAAAGCUCCGUCGUGAUAGGCUCUUCUGUCCCGGUUUGCUGCCCUUAAAAAGGUAAACACCUUUUUCUUUCAGUUUUUGUUUUAUAAUUAUUUCCUUAUUAGCUUCAUCGUAAUCGUAAUUGUUGGGACUGUUCGCUUUAGAAAUCUAGGAUUUUAUUGUAUUUUUCUUGCUGUGUUGAUAAUCUAGACUCCAAUGUGAAUGAAAUAGUAUGUAUUGAUUAAAUCUCGAAGAUCACAUCUUUGCCUUGUGUUCACUGUUUGUACGUUGUAUGUAACUGUCUUGGCUUUGUAUUAAAUACGUUGUCAUUUUGAAAUCUAUCCUCUAGUGAUCAAGUUCCAAUAUAAACCGAGGGCUACAUUUUUUCUUCAAUUGGAAAAGUAUGUAGUAUAAUUUUACUUUGGCAUAAGAUGGAGUUGGUAUAGUUUAACGAACCCAUUUCCCAAAUAUUCACUUUAGAUGUCUUAUGUUGAGUAUUUUAGAAUAGUGGAGUUCUAGAAGUAAUAUAAAUAUGUAGCAAUCCUUUCCAUAUCAACAUGUGGGGUUAAGGAUGAUUGUGCAUUUUUGUGACUAACAUUUUGCUGUUAGUUUUCUUAUUUUCUGCUCUAUUCUUCUCUUUAUUGUAUAUGUAUGUUUAAAAAUUGAAAGGAGAUUUUUCAUGCAUUCUUGAUAUCUCCAGAAAGCAAAUAACCUUUGAAAUGUUUCUCCAGACGUAACAUAUCUACAGUUUGUCAUACUAUACUGUUGAAAAUGUGAAAAGUUUGAAGAUCUAUGGAAUGUAAAUGUUAAGUUGUUAAAUUGGUCUUGUGGCUUUGUUUCAAUUCUCAUAGUAUCUUCUUUGGUGUUUGAAAUACCUAUUCUCCUAGUUUUGUUUCAAUUCUCAAAAUAUAUGCUUUGGUGUUUGAAUUAUAUGGAUUAAGCUUGAGUUCUUCCACUUUGGGAUAAAUUAUUUUGAACUUCGGAUAAAUAUUUUGAACUUUGUAUUAAGCUUUGAGUUCUUUCACUCUGGAUAAAUUCUCAUGGUAUCUUCUUUGGUGUUUGAAAUACCUAUUUUCCUUCGUUCUUUCACUUUGAAUAAAUUAUUUUGAACUUAUAAUAAUUUGGUGUAUUUUUCUUGAUGCACGCAAUUCCAUUGAGUCCAUUGGACUCCAUUCUCCCCCCUUGGCAUUUAUGGGACCAAAUCCCACUUCUCCGAGUCAAAACUUCAUGCCGAAGUCCCAAAAAAUGAACCAAAGGACAAGAAAAAAGGUUGGUAUACACAUGUAUACAGCUGAUAUACGUUGGAAGCGGCAGCUGCCCUCUAUUACACCAUGCACAAUAAAAAAUAGAGGGGAAAUAAGCAGGUUUUCACGCUGAUAUACACUGUAUAUGCAGUGAUAUACAGUAAAACGCGAAGAAAAUUGGGACUGAUAUACAUCCUGGAAAUGGAUCCAAAGUCCACAAAAGAAUAUAGCCCAAGGCUGAACAAAUCAUAAUGGGCCAAAAGCCCAAUCCAAGGUUCUUUUUAUUUACUAAAAUUUACAUAUAUACACAAGGUAAAGUUACCUUAUUAAUCCCAAUUUGGUAAAGUAAUUACAUAAAUUCCAAAGUAAUUACUUAAAUCCCUUCCUUUUUUACUUUCUCUCUCAUAUACCUUAUACAUCCAAAAACACACUGAUUUCUUCCCUUUUUUGCUCCAUUACACACCCAUUUUUUCUCCAUUUUUGAAACUUAUUUUCACGCCUAAAUUCAAGCAACGUAUACUUAGAGGUUACCAAUUUGUAAGUUUUCAAGCAUUAAUUUAUCUUUCUGAUUUACUUCAUUAAUUUUUGGAAAAAAAAAUUUCAACUUUACCAAAUCAGGAUAUUUUUCCGAAUCUUCUUUGGUUGCAUGUUGUUUUGUAUGAAAUUACCGUCUGUUGCAAUCAUAUUUAAGUUUUGUAAUUUGAUUUUAUCAAUUUUUUUCCAUAAACUACAAGUUAGAUCUUUGAAUUUCUUGGUUUGUAGUUGCUACUGCUUAAUCAAUAUAGUGUAAAAUUCAUAAUGGAUUCUCGUUUUACCUUUAGUUUAGGAUUUAGUCUGUUAGAUGCUCAGGAAUAAGAUAUUGUUGUUGUUAUAUUUGAUUACGAAGAACCCAAUUUUGCAGAGAAUCGUUCCAAGCACUAAAACGAUUCGGUAACCAUGAAGAAAUUGAAGAAAGUGGCAAGUUCUAGUUCAAAGAAAUCAGCUUCAAAAUCGACUAGUAAGAAGAAGGUUGAUGUGGCAAGUUUUAGUUCGAAGAAGUCAGCUUCAAAAUCGACUAGUAAGAAGAAGGUUGAUGGGUCCGGUCGACCAUGUCUUCCGAAGGUAUUCAAUUUAUAUUAUUUGAUUUAAUACAGUAAAUGGUUAAUUAUGAUUUGAUAAUUGUAUUCUAGGAUUAUACAGUAUGCAUACCUUAUAUAGUUUGUAAGAUUAAUGUGUUCAGUCAAUUCACUUAUGAAUACAUUAUACAUUACUUUAGUUGUCAGACUAAUGUAUAAUAUAAGUUUUGUGCUUUAUAUUUUAUUAGAUUAUACAAUAAGAAAUUUUAUUACACAAAUGAGGCAGUUUUGUAUUAAGUGGAAUUAUACUUUGUGAAUGUCUGCAUAUUGUAUAAGGGUACAUUAUACAUUCUAAUAAUCUUGUAGUUAAUUCAUGUAUUAGGUGAAUAAUUUAUGUUUUAUAUGUAUAGUGUGUCAGUAUACAUGAUGCAAGAUCAUAUUUGAAUGUAUAAUUUAAGACAUAUCAGGCAUUAUACAUUAGUUAAAAAGUCUUCAUAUUGUAAAAGGUUACAUUAUACAUUCUCAAAAGCUUAUAGGUUAUACAUGUUGAAUGUUAAUACUUAAUAGGCAUAGUACCACAUUAUACAUUACUGCAGAUUAUUAUUUAAAUGUAUAAUGUACCCUCAUACAUGUGCAAUUGUUGUAUAAUGUUAUCUUUAACACGUAUCAGUUUGCUAUUUUUUUCCUCUAUUAAUUUGAAAAUACCUUUAUUUUUUCAGGGGAUGAUAUACCGUAUUGACACAGUCCCGGCUCAUCCGUUGUAUAUUGAUAGCUUAUGUAACCGUACUUUUGGUGAAGACAUAAAGGCAUAUUUUUUAGAAGAUAUUUUAGGAGCAUUUACAAAUACAAUUUUUGGGAUAUUUCUCGAUUCGUCUCAAUGCAAUUGGAUAAGAAAGAUUUCAAAAUGUCUCCUUAUGCUAGAAAUCCAACAAGAUAAUAAGGACAAGAUUCAUGUGCGGGUGCAGGGGAACAUCCUGAAAUUUAUGAUGCUUGAAUUUGCCAUCAUUACCGGUCUUAAAUAUACCAGUAAUAUUGAUGAGUAUAUGUAUUCUUCAUCGCCAAAAUUAGCUUUGAUCUUGAAGUAUUUUUCCGACGUUGUAGGUGGAAUAACUAGGUCAAAACUUAUAACACGUGUGAAGAUGGGAAACUUCGAUAACUCUGAACCUUGCGAUAUUAUAUUUUGUUCAUACAUUUGUAUUUUCUCAGCAUCGUGAAUCACCUAUCAGUUUAGCUCACUUCCAGAUGAUCGAGUAUGGUUGGUACAGACAUUUUCCAUAGGAAAAUAUUACAUUUGAAAAGUUGAUGAACUCCUAGCGGCAGGAUUUCAAAGUUGAAAAACAGUUAUAUUCAUUGGUAGGGAUGGAAAUAGUGCGGUGCGGUGUGGGUUUUGAGCUAUACGGGGUGCUGCAGGUUUUAAGUUAUACGGUGCGGGGUGGGUUAAAGUAAGAUUUUUUUUAAUGGUGCGGUGCGGUGCGGGUUAUGGGUAUAUGCAGGUUUAAAUUAAAAUAAAGCUAAAAAUUAGCAUUGUUCUCGUGAAUAUACCUAAAAUUGUAUGUAUUAUUUACUUAAAAUUUUAUAAUAUUUAAAACGACAUGUAUAACACUACAAAUAAAUAAUUUUAUAGUAGCUUUUUUAACAUCUCUAUUCAUUUUUAUAAAAAUAUGAUUACUUGUACACGUUAUACUUUUUGACAAUUUUUUAGUGAAAAGUGAUACAAUAGAAAUUAGUUAUUAUUUCCUAGUUGUAGAUUUGAAAAUAUUAUGAUUUUCAAUGGAGUUAUAAUUUUUUCAAAAAAAAAAGAUAAAAAAUUAAAAACAUGCAUGGGGCGGUGCGGUGCGGUUAUGCACGGAUAUGAAUGUGGGGCAGAUUUAUGCGGGUUUAAAGGUGAUGCGAUGCGGUGCGGUGUGGUUUUAAAAUUUGAGGGUUUAGAAAAAACCCGCACCGCACCAUUGCCAUCCCUAUUUAUUGGGCGGAGUGCCAGACAUUCUAAAUAUUUGGAUGUUUGAGUGUUGUUCUGAGGUAGAUUAAAAAACUGCUUUGUGAUGAAGAAACAUCAUCCCAAGAAUAUUUUACUGGUCUGUGGAGUGUACGAGGCCUAAGUAUGACUCUUUUAUGUCUGGCACAUUCAGUAAGGUAAUUGUAUAACAUGUUAAUUAUUAUCAUUUUCAAGUCAUUUUAUUGAAGUGCUAAUAUUUUAUUUUGGAAUUCAUUUUUCAGUAGUCUUACAAGAAUUUACAACCUACAAAAGAAAUAGUUCGUAGGUUGAAUUUGUCUUUUUUUUUAAGAUUUUGAGAUAUUUGAUCCAACAUCUGCUACUUUCACAUCCGCUUCUCGAAUGUUGAAAAGGUCAGCUGAUGAAGAUCAACCGCUUAUUGUUACUGCAGCUGAAGAUUUUGAUGAUUUCAGCACUAUACCACCACAAAAAAUUCUAAUAAAGGUUGAUUUAGCUUCACCUUUAUCACCUAAACAAGCAUCGAAAAGAAGAAAGACAGUUAUAUUUCAGGAAGAUAGUCCAGGAGUGACGGAUGAAGAGAAAUCUACACGUGCUCAUGCAGUACAUCAUGUGUCUGGUUUGUUUUCAAAAAAUCAGGAGGAUUCAACAGAUAAAGGAGAAACUGGUGUGUUUGAAUUUGACCACUGUCAUUAAGGAGAAAUUGGUGUGUCUCCUGACCGUGACCAAGUAAAGUUUGUUCCUUCAUCUUCCAUAAUGUCUGAAGGGACUUCUAAGUUAACUUUAGAUAUGGAUGAGAUAAAGACUUACAACAACUACUAUGUAAGUUAACUUUCUUAUUGACUAUUUUUGUAUUUAAAAAGCAUUACGUGUUUCUAAUAUAUUAUUUUUUCUGUACAUUAUAAGGUUGAUAAAAAGAUUGCUGAGCUGGUUGCAGUAAUAUCUAAUAUACCUGUUGAGGUUGUUAAAGCUUUGAAGAAAGAAGAAAAUAAAAAAUCACCGGUAUAAAAAUUUAUUUCAUUCAAUUUUAUGUUACUUUGAUGAAAUGUUCAUACAUGCGUAUAUUUCAUGUUAUAUAAGAUGAUAAAAUGGUUGAUCAGGAACAAGGUCCCAAAGAAGGAUAAAAAAAAUAUGACAGUUCAUAUACGGAGGAUUUGUCGGUACUUUUUUGUCAAUAAUGUUGGUUUGUUACUACAAAUUUGUAUACCUCCCAUAUAUAAACCUGUUUUGUUUCAUUUUUUACAGCAUGCAGAUGAGGAAAAGGGACCAGUCGUUGAAAUCACAAAUGAUGAACCAUUUGUACUUUAAUCUGUAGAAACAGAUAUCCAAGCAUGUGUCUACACGUAUACUAAAUGUCCAACAACAAGUGACGGUCAAACUGAUCAGAAGGUAUAUUGAAUUAAUAUUUACGUAUGUAAAUGAUAAGUAUAACCAAUUGUAUAUAGCUAUUUUUAUGAAUAUACUUAUACAUAUGUAAUUAGUAAUAUAAUAAUAUUCCUGAAUCGCCUUAGACAUAUAUAAAUGUUAUUGGUUACCACUUGGGUUUUGUUGUGUAUGAAUGACCUUAUACAUAUAUAGGAUAUGUAUAUGUAGAUUUAUACAUUCAUAUGAAAGCCUUACAAAUAACAAAUUCUUAUCACUGGUAUAAAACUGUAUUUCAUUCAACUUUAUAUUACCCUUAAAAAAGGUUCACACAUGCUCAUUUUUAUAUUAUAUAGGAUGAGAAUAUGGUCGAUAAAGAAGAAGGUCGUGAAGAAGAAUUGAAAAACCAACACAGUCCUCAUAUGAAAGAUUUGUCGAUAUUUUUUGGCCACUCACGUUAGUUUUUUACUACAAAUCAUUCUAUAAACAUGUAGCAUCAUUUAUUGUUAGAAAAAUGGUCAUAAUGUUAUCGGCUGAAUAUCAAGAUUUUGGGAUCUUCAUGCUUCCAUAAUUUUUGACAUUGUUGUAAAGUCAUCUUCUAAAAUAGUAAUCAUGGUCUUGAUGAAAUUAGGGAGAUUAUGAUGUUUUGAUUACAUAUUCUUUGCUUUGUACAGUUAGAUAAGGGAAUUUAGUUAUGGUGUAUUUAAUUCAAACUGGGCAGUUUGUGUAAGGAUAUGAACUCAUUGUACUCAAAAUUAGGGGAUAUGUACUUGUGGUUUUAAUUCCAAGGAUAAAUGUUCCAUAUUACUAAUUCUGAAUAGAUAUGUAUGAAUAACAUUAUACAUACAUUGGUUUUGUAUAAUUAGAUAUGUAAUACUAAAGAGCUCAAAGAUGACAACAAAAAUUUCGGUGUCGAAAGAGUAGAGUCAACUUCAUAGACCCUCAGCUACAAAGGCUCAACACCUUUAGCCAAGAAUAUUCAUUAAAGCUCGUAUGUGACAUGACUUAAUUGGUAGAUACCCUUCCCAAUCUUAUAAAAGAUUUUGAAAAUUCAACUCUUUGUAGAAACACUUACUUUAAAUUAAUUUAUGCUAUAAUUUUUCCUUACAUCCACCAGCUCGGAGAGUCAAAGCAAGAAUCAAAAGAUGACAAACACUUGAAGAAGAUAGGAAUCGAAAAAUGACAAUAACAAGAGCUGAAGAACGAAGAAGUCAACACUGAUAAAUUUUAUCAAAAAUUAACAUUUUUUCUGUGGAUGCAAGUUAUCCUGAAGCCAACAAAAACCAACAAAAAUGCUAAUUAUUCACCAUAUUUCUUUUGUUUAAAGGAAUACAAGAAAUCCAAACACCCCAAGGCCGACAAGAAAGAGUCAGGAUGGUCAGGAGCUUAAAACAACUGAGUUUCCCAAAACUAACAGGCUUUUUGUGGAUGUAGGUAUCAUCAAACAUGGAAAGAAAAAUAAUGACUUACUUACAUCCAUAGAAAAUCAAGGAUGGAUGUUUGAAAUGGUAGGUGCAGAAGGUUCAAAAUGCUAGUGGAAUGGUCAAGGUAAUGUUUUCUAUAAUCGCUGCACGAUUAUUUGCAUUCCUCCUUAUCUUUCUACUGCAUCAUAUCAUGCCGAGAGGAACAUGCCAUGAGGGCCAUGCCGAGAGGGUCAUGCCAAGAGGGUCAUGCCGAGAGGGCCAUGCCAGGAGGUCCAUGUCGAGAGGUUCAUGCCGAGAGGGCCAUGCCGAGAGGGCCAUUCCAAAAGGAUCAUGUCGUAAGGGUCGUGUCCUGAAAAUCAUAUUACCUUCUCCGACUAGUUUCGAAGAGUCAACAAUCCAAGGGCUUAUCUAUAAGUCACAUUUUUUGAAAUAAGAUAGUGUGCAAGAUUAUCCACGAGUUAAAAUCCCAUGGGUCAUCCGUAAGCUACAACAAUAACCUAACCGGAUAGUGUGCAAGGUUACCCAAAGAUCGAAAUUUUAAAAGUUAUCCAUAAGUCACAACUAAAUCCUUACCGGAAAAUAUGCAAGAUUAUCAAAACUGAUAGGUCCAAGGGUUCUCUAUAAUCCGCGUCAUAUCCAAGAUCGAUUAUGCACAGAAUUACACAAAGACUACCAAUUUCAGAGACAUCUAUAAGUCAUACUGUAUCAAAGGUCGAAUAAUGUGUAGGAAUAUCUGAGAGCUAGAGAUUUGAGGGGUAUCUGUAAGUCAUCUCUUAUCCAGGGUCGGAUAAUGUGCAGGAUUGCUCAAAAGCUAAUAACUUAAAGGAUAUCUGUAAGUCGUCUCAUAUCCAACAUCAAAUAAUGCGCAAGAUUAUCCAAAGAUUGACAAUUCAAGGAAAAUCUAUAAGUCGUAUCGAUACGAGAGAUGUGCAAGAAUCCCGAAGUCAAAUACAAGAAGCAUUAUAGGUAACCAAAAUGGUUACCACAUCAGCAUAAAAUUACGUAAUUUCAGGGACCACUCUAUACAAAGUGUCAUCGGUUCCCAAGAGGGCCACCCCACUUUGAAGAAAAUUUUCAACCAUCAAAACAACCACUUUAUCCAACAACAAAAGGUUUAUUGUGUCGAUUAUCGCAAGAAUUAUCACACUCCAAACAGGUACAUAAGAGGAUGACGUCUUCGUCAGGUAGCAACUCACACAGAGAUAUAGUAAAAGGCUAUAAAUCCCUUAGUGAAUUAUGUUUAUCACUAACAAUUGUGUUUGAGAUGUUGUCGAGAGCAUCCGAAAAGGAUGAAAAUCUCAAACCAAAAUUAUAGUUGUGGACAACUCCAAAAAGGACACACUACAACGUGAAACUUUUUAUUAGUAGCGAACUGGGACAUAGUCCAAAGAGGAAUAUCAAACUCUUUGAACGCGAGCUAAAAGACGACUUCCACCACAGCCAAAUCACAUCCCUAUCAGAAGGCAUAGGGGUAUUUUAGAAUUUUUGUUUCAGAUUCACUCUCGAGAUAUUUUUAAACUUAUACCGAGGGUAAUCUUUUCUUCCCUUCAAAUCCUAGUGACAACACACUCAGAGUUUUUGAAAUUAUGUCCGAGUAAAAUCUUACCUAUGGAUGUGAAUAGCUCCACAUUCAUGGUUAAAAGAUUACAAGCCUCUUUUCUGCAACUCAAUCAGCUUGUCACACAUCCCAAACCAAAAAUUAUCUAAAAUAAAAGACUAUUUUUCUACCGAUUAAGUCGAACUACAAGCAGUCUAAUUCCCCGAGUCUCAGGGAUAUGUAGGCUGAGAUCUAUAUAGAAAAUUCGACCUCUCCCAAUCCGCUUAUUCUCGAACAUUCCGAUUUUACUAAAAUUCAAAACCAAAGUAGCUCGUGAAUACUUUGAAAAUCAUGCUUUAAACCAAGCUUUAUGAACUAAAAGUGGCAUGAAUUCUCAUGUAACCUGAGAUAUGUAGGAAACCUGAUACCAGGGUCCGUCCAUAACCCCAUAAAACUCAUGUGAAAACCAAUCUCUUCCAGAAAUGAAUUUAUGGUUGGACAAAAAUUAGAAAUGUCAAACUCACUUUGCCUAGGGUUACUUGCAUCCACCCUACCAAAAGGGAGGGGGCAGUUGUGGACACCUAAUUUUUGUCCUCCAUGACUAAGUUUGACCCCGAGUUUCUUCUCUUUUAAAUAAAAUUAUAACAUUUAUUUUAUCCGAAUAAAAAAAUUCUUUCAAGUAUUCUAGAUAAUUCAGUUAUCUUAAGUAACAAUUAUAUGUUUUCGUAUCCAUACAUACGAGAUUGUGUAAUUUUGUUACUCAAAUAAUUAUUUCACAAAAAUUAAAUUUUAAUCAAGGGUAAUCUUGAAAAUUGAUUCAAAUGGUUAAUAUCUUGAUUUAAUUAUAAUUUAGUCUUAAAAAUAAUUUAUUUUGAAAAAAUAUUUAUUUGAUUUUAUUAAAUCAAGAAGCUCAAAAUUAAAAUAAUUGUUAAUUUAUGUUGAAUUUUGAUUCAAUUUAGUUGAUUAAUUGAAUUUGGUCAUGAUUGAAAGUAAUUAGAUUACAAUUCUAAUGCAAUUGACAACCUAAAUUUUUAAUUUGGCUAGAUAUUAAAUUAAACUGACAAAAUUAAAAAAUACCCAAAAAAUAACCUAAUCUAUCCGACCACCCCUUUCUUUCAUUUGGGUUGGCCUGCCCAGCUGUGCAGUCCAACAGCAACCAACCCAUUAGACCAAAAUGCCCCCCAGUCGACCAACCUACUCUAAAAACCUUGACCCGGCCCACAACCCUUUUACCUUUCUUAUCCAUAUAAAAAAAAAAGACAACAACAACUUUCAACCUCCAGCGUACAAACAACAUCGACCAACGACUUCAAUACCAACAGUCCAGCGAAACCCAGCCACGAACAAUGCCGGCAACCCGUCAAAUCCGAAGAACCAACCAAUUCUGACAAAAAACCCGACUCCGACCCGAACCUGUUCGGCUUCAAAUCAAAUUUCAUUCAAUCCAACGACAACGACCCUUAAAUCAAAAAAAUCUCUCUCUUUUCAUCUUAUCUCUGAAUUUUGCAGACCUCGAACCUCGACAUUUGACUUUUGUUUAAGAUGGGUGUGCACUUUGCUCCAAAAUCUCAUCCAAAUCAAAAACAUCACAAUCAAUCCAAAUUUGUGGGAUAUGUUUUCACUCUUUUUAUCAAAUCCCUAACCACUUCCUGUCAGUAAAACAAACUCUAUUUUAAAUUUUAAUGGAGAUUUUUUUGAUAUAAAUAGGAGCAGAUGCUUUCAUUUGAAGGGAUUCUUAGAGGAAUUUUUGGAAAAAAAUUGGAGAGUUUGAAGGAGCGUUCCUUUAAUCCCACGUAAUCAAGAAUUUCAGAAGAAACUAUUUUAAAACUCAAUCCCGACGAAAAUUGAACUCUUGCAAAUCGGAGUCGAAAUUCCGGUGGUGAAAGCUCCGUCGUGAUAGGCUCUUCGAUCCUACUUUGCUUCCCCUAAAUAGGUAAACACCUUUUUCUUUCAGUUUUUGCUUCAUAAUUAUUUCCUUCCUAGCAUCAUCGUAAUCGUAAUUGCUGAGUCUGUUCGCUGUAGAAAUCUAGAAUUUUAUUGUAUUUUUAUCGUUGUGUCGAUAAUCUAGACUCCAAUGUGAAUAAAAUAGUGUGUAUUGAUUAAAUCUCGAAGAUCACUUCUUUACCUUGUGUUCGCUGUAUGUACGUUGUAUGUAACUAUUUUAGCUUUGGAUAAAAUACGUUGUCAUUGUGAAAUCUAUCCUUUAGCGAUCAGGUUCCAAUAUAAAUUGAGGGUGUACUACUUUUUUAUCUUCAAUUGGAAAAGUAUGUAGUAUAAUUUUACUUUGGCAUAAGAUGGAGUUGGUAUAGUUUAACGAACCCAUUUCCUAAAUAUUCACUUUAGACGUCUUAUGUUGAGUAUUUUACAAUAGUGAAAUCCUGGAAGUAAUAUAAAUAUUGUAGCAAUCCUUUCUAUAUCAACAGGUGGGGUUAAGGAUGUGCAUGUUUGUGACUAAUCUUUUGCUGCUAGUUUUCUUAUUUUCUGCUCUAUUCUUCUCUUUAUUGUAUAUGUAUGUUUAAAAAUUGAAAUGAGAUUUUUCAUGCAUUCUUUAUAUCUCCAGAAAGCAAAUAACCUUUGAAAUGGUUCUCCGGACCUAACAUGUCUACAGUUUGUCGUACUGUAAUGUUGACACUGUGAAAAGUUUGAAGAUCUAUGGAAUGUAAAUGCUAAGUUGUUAACAUUGGUCUCCUAGUUUUGUUUCAAUUCUCAUAGUAUCUUCUUUGGUGUUUGAAAUACCUAUUCUCCUAAUUUUGUUUCAAUUCUCAUAAUAUAUGCGUUGGUGUUUGAAUUAUAUGCAUUAAGCUUGAGUUCAUUCACUUUGGGAUAAAUUAUUUUGAACUUCGAAUAAAUAUUUUGAACUUUUUAGUAAGCUUUGAGUUCUUUCACUUUGGGUAAAUUCUCAUGGUAUCUUCUUUGGUGUUUGAAAUACCUAUUUUCCUUCGUUUUUGCACUUUGGAUAAAUUAUUUUGAACUUGUACUAAUUUGGUGUAUUUUCCUUGAUACACGCUAUUUCAUCGAGUCCAUUGGACUCCAUUCUCGCCCCUGGCAUUUAUGGGACCAAAUCCCACUUCUCCGAGUCAAAACUUCAUGCCGAAGUCCCAAAAAAUGAACCAAAGGACAAGAAACAAGGCCUAUAUAUAUCUGUAUACAGCUUAUAUACGUUGGAAACGGCAGCUGCACACUAUUACACCAUGCACAAUAAAAGAUGGAGGGGAAAUAAGCAGGUUUUCACGCUGAUAUAAACUGUAUAUGCAGUGAUAUACAGUAAAACGUGAAGAAAAUUGGGACUGGUAUACAUGUGAUAUACAUCUUGGAAAUGGAUCCAAAGUCCAUAAAAGAAUACAGCCCAAGGCUGGACAAAUCAUAAUGGGCCAAAAACCCAAUCUAAACUUCUUUUUAUUUACUAAAAAUUACAUAUAUACACAAACUAACUUUACCUUAUUACAACACAUCCCAUAUUAACAAACUAAUUACAUAAAUCCCAAACUUAUUACUAAAAUCCCCCUUUUUUUUUACUUUCUCUCUCAUUCCUCUUAUACAUAAAAAAAAACUAAAAAUUUUUUAUCAUUACUUUAUCUCUCUUUCCCAUAUUUAUUCCAUUUUUUUCUCCCAUUAAACAAUUCUUUACUUUUUUCCUCUUUCCCAUUUACUUUCUCUCUCUUUUUCAUAUUUGCACCAUUUUUUUCUUCCAUUAAACAACCGAUUAUUCCUCCAUUAUUGAAUACCCUUUUUCACGCUCAAAUUCAAGCAAUCACAUAUUUAGAGGUUACCAAUUUGUAAGUUAUCAAACAAUUAUUAAACUUAUAUGCUGAUUUUUUUCAAUAAUUUUUUUUCAACUUUACCAAAUCACAAUCUGGGUCGAUUUUUUAUUGCAUUUUUGUUUUUUAUGAAAUUAAUUGCUUUUGCAAAUCUAUUUUAAUGUGAUAGUUCAAUAAUAUCAUUUUUUUUUUCAUUUAUUAAAAGUCAGAUCUUUAUUUUUGUUUUGUUGCAUGUUGAUUUUUAUGAAAUUAUCUUAUUUUGCAAUCUCAUUCUAGUUUGUUAGUUGAUUUUUUCUGUAUUUUUUUUCAUAUAAUACAAGUAAGAUCUUUGAAUUUCUUAUUUGUAGUUGCGAUUACUUAAUCAAUACAGUAUAAAUUUGGUAAUGGAUUCUCGUCCUAGCUUUAGUUUAGGAUUUAGUCAGUUAGAUGCUCAAGAACAAAAUAUGUUCGUUGGUUUUGUUCCUGGCAUAUUUGAUAUUAUAUGUUUAUAUUAUUUGAUUAUACAUUACUUUAUGUUUUAGACUAAUGUAAAAUAUUAGGUUUCUGCUUUAUUUUCCAUUGUAUUAUACAAUAAGAAGAUGUACAUAGAAGAGGCAGUUAAAAAGAUUAUUGUAUAAGUUGACAUUAUUCAUUAAAGAAGAUUUUUUUAAAAUGUAUAAGUUACCAUCAUACAUAUCUGUCUGUAGUUUAAGUAUAUUCGAUAUUACAUUUGAGAUGUAUAAGUAUAUUUGAUAUUACAUUUUUUAAAUGUAUAUGCUACCAUCAUAUAUGCCAAUCAAAACGCACUUGAUGUUGAAUAUGUUCAAAACAUACCCCAGCAAGCAUCUGAAAGUUUGUAAGUAAAUUACAAUUUUUUAUAAUGUAUAACUAUGUUUAAAUUAAUGUACUUACUGUUACUUCAUUUUUAUUUUUAUUUUAAAUCAGGGACGACGUCUUUGUUGCUGCUUAUGCAGAAAUAUUAAGUGAAGGGCAUCAAGUGCAUUCAUGCGUGUUUGAUGCUGGAAGUCAACGCGCACGCUAUGCUUCAUUACUGUGGUAUUACGGAGUAGAAAAGACAAAUGAAGGGUACACGAGUGAUAAUGGCAAUCCUCCUCGGCCAAAGAAUAGUGUGCUCAAAGAAAUUGAUGAAAGUGCAAUUGUUACUUUAGAGUAGCAUUGUUUAAUAAAAGUCAAAAUGGAAUCAACUAAAUCUUAGUUUUGUGGUUGAUGUUAAACGAAUUCAAAGAUUACUUUCUAGAUGUUAAUUUACAUUUAUGGAUGUCUUCAUCUUAUGAGAAUAUAUUUUUUAGUCACUGAGACACUACUGCAAUGUUACUAACUGAUUCAUAGUACUUAUUGAAUUUCCCUUUCACUUAUUUUGUUAAUGAUUAAAACAACAUAUUACUAAUUAAUCUGACAUUGUAUUUUGAAAACAUAAUAUGUUUUCUGUUAUGUACCUUUGCUUAUAAGUGAAUCUUACAUUGAACUAAAGACUAAUACGUUUUGAAUGUAUGUAUUACAUAACAACAUAUAUGUUGUAAAACGCUUAUUACUUAUAAAAAAAUUACAGAAAUUGUUAAUACCGCACACAUGUAUAAUUUAUGAUGCAAUAUCAUACAUUGAUACGAAUGUAUAAUCAAAUAUUAUACAUUCGUAAGUCAACUGGAAUGGCACAGUAUCACUAUACGUUGCUUUGAAUGUAUAACAACUCAUUAUACAUUCAAACGUUUACUGGAAAGGCACACAUUUAUUAUACAUUGAUUUGACUGUAUAAAAACAUAUUAUACAUUCGUAAAUUUAUUGGAAUGAUACUGUGUAUAAUUUAAAAAAAAAAAUUCAGUUAAAUUUCGUUAUUGUAUUUCUAACCUCAUACAUGUUAAAAACGUAUAAUGCUAUAUCAUACAUUUAUUACACAUUAACUAUUAAUGUACAACAGUUUAAUACACCGUGCGUUUCAAUAAUUACUUACUCCUAUAGAGAGCAAGUUACAUAGUUAAUGUGCUUUUAUAAUCGUGUUCUCACUUCAAGUUAUAUGGUUACGAACUAUGAUAUAGGGAAAAAACUUGAAAUUUUUCAUACUAAUAUAAAUCAUUGAUUAAAGAAAUUAACAUCUAUAAUCAAUAAAAAAAUAUAAAUUACUUGCUCCAGCAUUCAGAAAAAAAUGAAUAAAAAAUAUUUAUACAAUCAAAACCAUUCAAAGUAUCCUCACAUAGAAAACCAUAUUAUAUUCUUCAUGAUUUCUUUGGAAAGAAAAUCGACUCGUCCGCAUUUACCAAAAUUACUAUUGCGUCACUUUUGUAUGACGUAUAACUAAUUUCUGACUUCCAAAUUUUAGAAUGUCACAACAAUAUGGGGAUAUUCAUAUUGAUUUUACUAGUAUUGAAGAACGUAUGUAGAAGAAGAUUUUAGUAGUUUUAGAGAACGGAUGUAGAAGAAAGUGGUUGUUUUUUAACUUUCCAGAUCGUGAAUCAUAGGAAAAAAAAUUAUGUAUAACAAAAUUUUUAAAAUUCAAAUAUCAGUUACAUGUUCUAUCAAUAAAUGACUUAAUGUUGGCUAAUUACUGCCUUUAAUUAAGGAACUGUAAAAUAAUUAAAGAUUCUCUUCCCUUAAAUAUAGCAUUAGCUGUUAUAUCAUACAUUCAACCAAUGUAUAAUAUGUGACCGAAUGUAUGAGUAUGUUUGCAAAAAAAAAGGAAGAGAGAAAACAAGAAGGGAUUUUGUGUAAUUAUUUUCAUUGUCUAGGGGAUUUUUGUUGUUUACACUUUAUUUAUUCAUUUCCUUUGUAAUUCAUUUGUGAUAUUUAUGAUUCUAACUUUAAUUGACUAAUUAAUCUAGAUAAAUCUCCUAAGGCAUUAUCAUUUUAUUUUAUCAUGGUUUUUGGUCAAUUCGUAAUUUUCUCACCUAACUUAUCUCGUCUAAAUCAAUUAAAGUAGUUCUUUCGAUUCUUCUUCCUAAAACUAAUCUUAAAAGAAAAAGAAAAAAAUUGUCAAGCAUUUUGUUUUUUUUAUAUGACGUUUGUCUUUUUCAUAUGACUAAUAGCCUACUUGGGUUAAAGCAAUUUUCUCCAAAUCAAAGAAAUCAAUUUUCUGGUGAUGUUUUUUAACUUCCCAUAAUCGAUAAAAUACUUUUAAAACGAUGUUCCUUUAACAUUCUCCAAAUGUGUUAUUUAUAGAAUAACGGAUCUUUUUUUAUAAUAACAAUAAUAAUAAAAAUAAAAAAUUAAUUAUGUAAUUUCUUUUUAAUCAUAAAAACACAAACUUAUUUCUUUCUUGAGUCUAAGUGUGCAACCUAGUUUAAGUGAGUUUCUCUUAAUUAAAACAUUCGUAAUUUUUCUUAAAAUAGUUGUGAGUUAAAUUAAAAUAUUCCUUGAUUUUUUUUCUUUCUCAAAUUCUAAUUUGUCGCGAUUAAUUAUGUAACGCCCCGGGAGUACACCCUGGACGCCACACGGUACUUGAAACCACAAGUGAUCUCAAGCUAACCCAUGAACUGACAUACUGUUAAGCCACUGAAUUAUUAUACAUUAAAUAACAAGUUCUGUUGUGCGAAAACAUAAUCAUACUGAAAAUCUGAAAUAGUAUGUAACUGAUAAAGUUUUACAAUCUGAUAAACCUGAAGGAAGAAACGAAAAUUACAUGACUAACUCUGACUGACAUCUAUGAAGCCUCUACUAUACUGAUUAUAGAUAGUUGGGACAUGCCUCCAACUACCACUAAUUAAUACAUAUGAAAAAUAAAUGAACUGUACAUAAACUAAAAUUGUCUGGACUUCCCGAAAUAAGAGAGCUCAUUACCUGCUGGCUAAAAACUACAACUGUCUGAUCAUGAUGCGUAGGCUAUAACUGAUACCUACAUUAUGAGACAAUGUAUCACAUAGACAUAUAUGUGGAUUAGUACUUCUGGAAUGUACUGAGUAUGCAGGGGUGAAUGCAAUAAGUGAAACUAGUUUCAUAUAAUCUUAAAACAUGAAUGACUAGGAGCAAGUAGACUUACCAAGAGACUGAAAUAAACUGAAAGCUGAAAUAUCUUAAAAUAUGAGUAAAAAAUAUAAUCUGAUAAGCUGGUGAAUCACUACACUAGUUUAUUAAAACUUUCCUUUUUACAAUAUAAGUAGAACUGAAGCUGGGAAAAGUGUAAAACAUGGGUACUGUAUGAAUACUGGGUCUGAAAUUAUGUGAUAGAGACUGACAUAAAAUAUACUAAGCUUAUCUGAUGCAUUGAAUAAUUGAUAGCUGAAUAUUGGUCAUAUAAGACUGAACUGUACUUAGUCUAAAAAACUGAACUGAAACUGUGUAGUACUAUGCAUAUGAGGUAAGGACUAUCUGAACAACAUGAGAUAACUGAGCAUGAAUGCAUGAAAACUGUAAUUUAUGAGAAUGCAAGACCAAGCAUAAAUUUGUAAUCUGAAAUAAGUUUGAAAUCUGAAAGACUAUAAACUUUAUAACUGAACAACUAAAAGUCUGUACACUUGAUCAAGAAAACCUGAAUUGAGAAUACACUGAAUGCUGACUGAGACUGUGGGAGGUAUCGUCUAACCGACAUGCUCUAAUUUGAGCUAAUUAGGGUCCAACCUGUAACCCCAGUUGGAAGAGCAUCAGUAUCGUGCCACGGUUACUAACACUAGCUGUGUGGAUUUACUAUGCUGAUGUACCGAAGGACCAGGGUGUCAAGCCUAAACUGACGGAUGACCCUUGAGAGGUAGUCAAUCCUAAACAGACGGGUGACUCCUCAUAUCCUACUUUGGCUACGUAGUCCUAGAAUACAGGGACUGCUACUAACGACUCUGCCUAACUGAUGGGGAAGCCACUAUUCUUGCAUUCACUCGGUGCUAAAUCCUAUUCCCAAUUGAACUGACACGAAUUACUGACUGGUGCAUGCACUGAUAACUAAUAACUGAUAAGCUCAGGUCAUCGUAUUCUAAAAUAACAGUGCACACGGAUUCUGAGGUAAUGAUUAAUAUGUACAUUGAUACUGAAACUGAAACUGGACUAAGCUAAGCUUAAUUGAACUCACAACUAACCAUAUUACUGACUGAAUGAUAUUGCUCACGGUAUAACUGAAAUCAUUCUGUAGAUACUGAAAAAUAGGUAAACAACUAAAUUUUGGGUAUUCAUAACCCCCAGUACUCGAUAACAAUAACAAUAGGACAUACUAAAGCUUCGGGAUAAUAAGUAGUCAAUAUUCAAAACCCAAUCAUUAGGGCAUUUCAUCAAACACUUGGGAAUCAUGAACUUGAACAUGAAAAUAUCUUAAACAUGGGAGCAUAGCAUGAUUACAUGACUAAGAUCAUGAAUUGGGGAAUUUACAUAAAAUUUUCUUGAAAUAUGACAUGGGAGUUUCAUCAAAACAUGUAAAGAUCAUAGCUUGAACAUAAGAAUGUCUUAAACAUGGGGGAACAAUAGAGUUACAUGGUAAAAUUCAUAACUUGGGGAUUCAUCUUGAAAUUGGUUGAACAUGAUAUGGAAAUUUCAUCAAACAUGUGGAAACCCUAAACAUGUGCAUGGGAAUGAGCAAGCAUGCAAAAAUAUCACGUCUAUACAAAUCAAUUCACAACUUAGGGAUUUGAUAGGAAGAUCAUAACAUUCAAAUUAUGUAUUGGCUCAUUCCACUUGAAAACACAUAUACUUUUAACUUAAAAUCAAACACAUGAGGAUCACGAGUUAAAAUAUGGGAGUAGUUAAACCAUGAAAAUCACAUAAUUUCAAUAUCAAAACAUAGGUUAAGCAUUUAACAUAUGAAAAUCACCAUUCGAACAUAUCAAGGCAAUUUCAACGAAAACCAUUUGUAAACAUGAUGCAUAAUCAAAAUUCAUGGAGGUUUCAUUGAUAUAAUUCAUAUUAAAAUGUAAAUAUCAUUGAACUUGAAAAUAGAUUUUUGGGCUCCAUGGGUGAAAGGGGACCCAUGGAUGAACUCCCACAUAUCUUAAUUAGAUGAUUUCUUGAAGAUUGUCGAACUUGGGAAACUUGAACUCUUGGAUUCUUGAAAGGAAAAAGCUUGAAAUUGAUCUUGGGAAAAGGGGAGGGUUUACAUGAGGUUUUGAUGAUGAAAAGUGGGCAAAUAAUUCCCUUUUGGAUGUAUUAAUUCGUGUUUGGACAACUGGGGUUAAGGGGAAUGGAUUAAACUGUCCCUUGGCCUUUUUUUUUUCCCGUGGAAAUCACCAUUGUGUCGUGACCCAUAGUUGGAUUAAGCAGCCCUCAUGACGCGGGGCUAUCGCGACCCCUUACUGCCUCUCACGAAAAAACCCAUAACUUUUUCACUCGGGUGUCGGACUAAGGCGAAAUUGGUAUCGUUGGAAAGCUAACUCAAUUAUCUACAAUCUAGUGGGUUUUGAGCUAAAAAAUUCCACGUACAUUAAAAGUUAUAUAUGUUCAAAGUAGACCCUUGUAGAAUCGAAUACAAAACUUUUGACGAAUCAAAGGCUCUUAGCUCAACUUUGUUCUAAGUGAUUCCUAUGAACAAUUUUCACUGUGAAAGAACUUCACAAACUAGGAUAAAUAUCAUGACACAUGAAUUCAAAAGUAAAUCAUGGGAUUAUAAUCUAUAUAUGUAAGAACGAUGGUUCAAAGUUUAGCUCGAAAAUGCGGGGUGUUACAAAUUAUGAAUUAAGUAAAAUAUUUCUCAGGUAGAAUAUUUUUUGUAAUAUUUCUCAAAAGUUAACCAUAAAUUAGGCGGAAUAUUUAAUAAUUCUUUAAUAUUGGAUUAAGUGAAACAUGAUGUAACUUUGUCUAACUCAAGUAGACUAUUUCUCAUUUGAAUAAACAAAUGCCAAUUUUAAACAUGUAAAUAAAUAUUUUUAACAUUUUAAAAAAUCAAUCUUUUUGUAAAGUUAGUCACCCUUAUGUUAGUUAGUCUAAAAAAUGAUCUUUUGGUGAACCGUUUAUCAAAUGUACGCUCCUAAGUGCCUUAAAAACACUCUUAGGGCGUUAAUUGAACCCUUACUCAGUUUCUCUAAUUUCAAAGAUUUAUUUAUAUUUUUGAAUCUUUGAAAUUUCUUUAAGUUUUCUUGAUAUUUUCUAUAAAAAUCAAGUGGAGACUCUCUAAAAUUUCUUUAAAAUUAUUUUGAUAGAUUUUCUUGAAUUUUGAAAUAGUUUUAAAAAGGUCCAAACCAUUUUCUCUCAAAUGAAACCCGAAAAAGGAUAAAACAGAUAUGACAACUCUGCUGGGGAUGUAUCUAGAUUCUAACCAAAAGUAAUUUUUCUAACUUGUUGUGGCUAAUUAUUACAUGUUUAUUUAUUUAAAUUUCAUAUAAACUGUCAUUCUGUUCAUAUUUCUUCCAUUUGAGAAAAUUGACACAGUCACACGUAUACGUACAUGUGAGGUGUGUUUCGCACACCUAUAAACUUCUUUCAAAUUCAAAAUUCUAGGAAUGUUGCCGUAUGUUCAGUGUGUACAGAUCUUUUUCUGUGUGACUGCGUAGUCUUCUCACUCGAGUUGUCCACUCAAAAACCUUUUGUCUAGUAAACCAAAUCUUAGAAGAACUUAAGAUGGAGCUUCCCCGAAUAUAGGUCAUGCAUGCAUAAGCCCUAGGUGUUUUGACUCAAGUUGUCAUUCUACUCAUUUGGGAAAUGCCCUUAUGUCAAAUGAGUUUACGACCCGACGACAACCGCUUAUAUUAUGUGCAUGUGAUAAUGAUAAACAGAUCCAAGCCUAAUUGUGAUAUUGCAAGUUUAGGAAACGUGUGCUUAUUUUAUCGUAUUUAUUUGUAGGAUGGAUUUAGUUUCCCAAGUGCCCAAGAUUAGAAUGGUCGAAGGUGUUCCACACAAGUUGAAGAUAUGGUGGAAAGAUUUCAACUCGAUUGAAAAAUUAGCGAUCACCAGAAAGUUGGAGUUCCUUCCUACACUGUUCAAGGUCUCCCCCGACAAGCUUGUGGUUAGAGCGUUAAUUCAAUUUUGGGAUCCAGAUCGAGUUGUCUUUGCAUUCAAAGACUUUGAACUUAGCCCCACAUUAGAGGAGAUCUAUUACUUCACUAAUUUAAAGUAUCAAGGGAGAGGUCAGAUCAUCCCGCACAGUCAGUCAGGGAGGAAAUUUCUUUGCUACUUGGGAUUAAAAAACACUGAUGAAUUUCGUUGCUUCAAAAAUAAUUGAGUUUCUUUGGAUUAUUUUUAUGAGAGAUACGGUCGUCAAGAUAAUUAUAAGGUAUUCAAGAAGGGGUUCGCUUGCACUUCUACCCAUUGGUAGGUUAGACGUCCGAUUGCAUUUGCCGUUGCCUUGCUAGGAACUUUGGUAUUUUCAUAAAAAUAUGGAAAGAUCAGUACUUGCAUAUAUUCUGUGGCUUGAGCACUUUUUAAAGGAGUUGAUGGCAGAGAAAUCAACUUGGUUCCUAUAAUCUUGGCAAAAAUAUUUUGCGCACUUGAAAAGUGUAAAAGAGGUGAAACACGGUUCUUUGAAGGUUGCAAUCUCCUUCUGCAGAUAUGGGCAAAAGAGCAUUUCUACAAGCGUGACAAUAUGACUAACGUAAUUUUUAGCGCUUCACAUAAGAUUGACACUCAUGAUGAUAGAAUGAAGAGGUUCAUUUCCCUAGUUGGCAUCGACGAUUGGUUUGAAUUCCUAGCCUCUCAUACCAGUGACCAAAUCCAGUGGAGAUACCCAAUACUGUCAUGUCCCACGGCUUACAUACGAUGCAGAGGACUUUAUUAUAUUGAGCUUAUCAAGUUAAGAGGUAUACAACCAUAUGCCCUGGUGUAUGUACUCCGACAGUUUGGUCAGACACAGAUCAUUCCUCUCUGAGAAAAUAUCCGAGUUUCGAAGGUCCUUUUUGGACCAGACUUUAGAGUUCCUAGGGCCAAUCAAAUUCUGCAUGAAUGCAGUAACAUUCUCACAAUAUAUGUGAGACGCGGACCAACAAAGUGCAUGUCAGAAUACCAGAUAUGGAUUUGAGAAUAUCGUGGCAAUAUAAAACUCAGUCCAGAAGGGGAACAAGGUUUUAAGGAUGUUGGGAUGACUAUUUGGAUAAGGCAUUUUCAUCUUGGAACCACAAUGGUCACUCCUGAAAUAUGGGCUCAAAUGUCCAUCAUAAUGCAGUAUUUGGAAAAUGCGGGAGCAGGACCCAGCAAUGUUGAGGCAUCAUCUUCACGUCCUCCACCAACAUGAUCUGAAAUAGGGUCUAGGCUAAGUUUUAGUACUGUACUUUUCAUGUAUUUUGAUCUUAUUUCUUAUCAUUGUACUCGAUUAAUAUUUCAAUGAAACUUGUCACUUUUAUUUCCAAACUCAAAGUUUGUCUCAAAUUAAUGGGUUGGAUCAAUUUAUCAUAAUAUCAAUUACUUGACGCUAGGCCAACCUUUGGCUCAAAAGUGUCACCCAACUAGGACACGUUAUUUAAUAUUCUAUUGUUGUGUGCUAUAACUGUCUUAUGUGGUAUAACUGUUUUAUGUACUUAUGUGCGUUGUUGAAUCAAAGGUGAAUUGAUCUACUCUUCAACAAGGUUUUAGAAACCCUCUAGGCAGAAAUGUACGCUUACUAUCCAAAGUCCGCCCAAAAUAUUCCAGGUCUUUAAGUCUCCCAGAAAGACCUUAACCAUCCUCGUUAAUUUGAACUAUGUAUGGCCUGAUUUCUCCUUUGUGAGAUACGUAGGCAGCCUUUUGGUCCGACCUCUAUCAUUUAAAAUCGUUAUGUCUCAUUUUAUCAAAGAAAGUCAUAUGAGUUCAAAAAUUAGAAAACUUGGCAAAAACUUGUUAAGACACAUAUAUCCAAAAAUCAAUAGACAAAAUCUUGCCCGUUAAUUUCUUUCGAGUUGAUACCCACCCAUGGAUCAAUUUACCUACGAUGAAAGCAACUUUAUGUGUUUACUUUAUGUCAGAUAUCUUGCAUUAUUUAUUACUAAUCGAAUCUAACAUAUUUACCUUUGGAGUUAUUUUACCAAGUAAUCAAGUAAGUAGAAAUUGAUCUGUGUUGACAAAACUGGCUAAACAUCAAUACUUCCCUAGAUAUAAGGCAAAUAAAAAUUCCUCCCUCGACCAUCACUUAACUGAAGAGGAAAAAAUGACUGGUAGUAGUGAUGAUAAUGCUCUUACCGAAAUUACUGUUAGGGACAGUGUGAUAAUGGCACAAGGAGAGAUGAUCUCUGAACUAACUAGGAGAAUGGAGGAGCUUCAAGAAGAAGUACAACGAGCAAAAAAUAUGGCUAAUCUGGCCAUUUCUGCUAAUACGUUAGUCUUGGAUACCCAUGCACUUUCACUUCGAUUUCCCUCUUUUAGCUCUCCUAAUAAUAGAAACCAACCAAAUGACAUACCUUCCGCUUCUAUGCCUAGACCUCCCACUAAUCCCAUCAAUCUGCUAUGUCAAACCCAUAUCCCUCCUACUCACAAUACCAACCAAGAAAAUAAUCCAAAUGCUUACCACCCUUAAAAUUUUACUUAAAAUUACCAAAAUACCUCCAUAAAUGCCUUCACUUCCUAAAAUACCCACCCCACUUUAGUCACAAUACCAACGUUCCCCAAAAUCUAGUCCCCAUAUACCAAAACUUCACUCACACCACUCUAAAUCCUUCGAUGACCCAAAAUAUGUCUCCCGUCACCAUCCAUGCUACUGUAAUACCUACCUCUUACUAUAAAUUCCCCUUAAAUCUAGAAAUUGAACACUAUAAGGAGACGAAGAAGGAGCGUAAGGUGAUCGAAGACAAACACGUUAGGGAGCUACUACUGAUAAAGGAAGAGAUCGCCAAGAUGAAGAAAACACAUGGUUCACCCAAUGCAGUAGGGUUCAGUUAUGAUGACCUUUGCAUUCACCCUAACUUGAACCUACCCGAAGGAUUUAAAGUCCCUAAGUUUGAGAUAUUCAAUGGUACUGGAAACCCUACGACCCACUUGAGAGGAUAUUGUGACAAAAUGGUAGGCGCUGGUAGAAAUGAGGCAUUGCUGAUGAGGCUCUUCAGUCAAAGCCUAAGUGGAGAAGUAUUAGAGUGGUUUACCCAACUCCAUUGCCAAAUUAUCAGACCACCUACCAAGCUCCACUCCCAAGCUUCCAAGCUUACCAAAAAGCUCUAGUUAACCACAAUUACCAUUAGGUCCUUCCUCCCGCCUACCAAAAUCUUCAUUAUCCAAAUAGCGAAAAGAAUGUCACUAGAAAUUUCACUGUUUUAGUUGAAACCAGAACUCAGCUGUUUGAAAGGCUUAAGAAAGCAAAUCUCAUCCAACUUGUCCUACCAAAACCCGCUAAUACCAAUUCUCAAUUUUCUCAUGCUGAUCAACAUUAUGCAUAUCAUUCAGGAGGUGCUGGACACACAACUGAGGACUGUAUUAAUUUGAAGCACAAGAUUCAAGAUUUAAUUUACCAAAAGGUGAUCUCACUUCAAACAGUGCCGCCAAUUGUUACCAGUAACCCACUUCCAAACCAUGAAGGGGAAACUAUCAAUAUAAUAGAAAUAGAUAAUGAGUAGGUGGUGAGCAAGUCUAUAACACAGGCUAGCCCAGAUGAGAUAGAUAAAGUGAAAGAUAUAGAAAGGACAGUGGCUGCCUUAAGUGUUAUCGAGAAGCCUAAGUUUGUUGCAUUCAUCGUACUUCAUCAAGCCUUUGCCUUAGUUCCCACAAUAAAAGAAUUUAUGGUGGAAGCCGCUGCCACACAAGGAAUGACUAGAUCAGGGAGAUGCUAUACUCCAGAGGAGCUUGCCAAUGAUGCAUACAAAAAAGUGCUCUAAAGAGGUCAAUUACUAAAGAGAAAGCCGAAGAAUUUUGGAGAAAAAUACAGCCAAAAGAGUACUCUAUUGUAAAAUAUUUAAAAAAGACCCCUGCUAAGAUUUCUAUUUGGGCAUUGCUUAUGGGUUCUCAGUAUCAUAGAAAAGCUUUGAUGAAGGUCCUUAAAGAAGCCCAUGUGCCUGUAGGCACAAGCACCAAAAAUUUGGUGGCCAUAAUCAGUAGAGUUGUGGGAUCCCAUCCAUUAGCUUUGGUGGAGACAAGUUACCUUUUGAAGGAGUGAUGCAUAACAAGGCAUUGCAUAUCACUGCCAAAUGCCAAGAUAAGAUCGUUAACAGGGUUUUAAUUGAUGAUGGAUCAGGCCUGAAUAUCUGUCCAUUGUCUAUUUUGAUUCAUUAAAACUAUGAUAUAGGGAAAAUGCAUCAGAACAUGAUAAAUGUAAGAGCUUUUGAUGAGGGUCAAAGAAACAUCACUGAGGAAGUCAAGUUUCACCUUCAAAUGGGGCCUGUGGAAUUCUUAGUUGAGUUUCAGGUGAUGGAUAUUUCCACAAGUUAUAAUUUGCUCUUAGGAAGGCCUUGGAUUUAUGCAACGGGGGCCGUUUUUUCAACGUUACACCAAUCAAUGAAAUUUGUGCGGGAAAAUGAUGAAGUGGCCAUCCAUGGUGAAGGAAACCGUAUGAGUCACCCUAAUAGUUGUGUUCCUGUGAUUGAAGAAGUCCCGAAAGAGAGUGAAUUUUAUAUAGUGGAGAUCUUGAAUACAGCUGAGAAAGACCCAACUUCUUGCGAGCCAAUGCCUUCAGAUCUGAGUUUGAAAAUCAAGGAGGAAGUUACCAAGCAGAUCCAAGACAACGUGGUUGAGGUCACGAAAUAUCCAACAUAGCUAGCCAAUAUUGUUCCAGUACCGAAGAAGAAUGGAAAGGUUAGGAUUUGUGUCGAUUAUAGGGACUUAAACAAAGCUAGUCCUAAAGAUAACUUUCCAUUACCCAACAUCCAUAUUCUCAUCGACAACUGUGCAAAUCAUGAAAUACGUCAUUCGUGGAUUGAUUUUUCGGAUACCAUCAACUACUGAUGGACAAGGAAGAUGCAGAGAAAAUAGCCUUCAUCACACCCUGGGUGUUUAUCACUAUAAGGUGAUGCCCUUGGUCUCAAGAAUGCUGGUGCUACAUAUAUGAGGGCCAUAAUAACCAUAUUUCAUGAUAUGAUCCAUAGAGAGAUUAAAGUGUAUGUAGAUGAUAUGAUCAUCAAAUCUCGCAAGAGUUCAGACCACUUGGCUCUUUUGGGUAAAUUCUUCGAUCAGUUGCGAAAGUACAAUUUGAGGUUGAACCCUGCUAAAUGUGCUUUUAGGGUGCCGGUUGGGAAGCUGUUAGGUUUCAUAGUUAGUAGAAGGGGCAUUGAGCUCGACCCCUCAAAAAUUAAUGCGAUCUAAGAACUGCCUCCUCCGAAGAUGAAGAAGAAAGUCAUUAGCUUCUUAGGGAGAUUGAAUUACAUCAGCAGGUUCAUAUCCCAGUCAACGGUUAUUUAUGAGCCAAUCCUCAAGAUGUUAAAGAAAGAUACAACAAGUAAAUUGACUGAGGAAUGCCAACGAGCUUUUGAUAAAAUCAAGGAUUAUCUGUCUAGUUUGUCGGUACUAGUUUCUCCAAGAGAAGGAAGUCCUAUAUUGUUGUAUCUAUUGGUUUCUGACAAUUCAUUUGGAUGUGUCUUAGGGCAACAUGAUGAAACUGGAGGAAAGAAAGAGCAAUUUAUUACUUGAGUAAGCAGUUCACUUUAUAUGAGGCUCGUUACAUGCUAUUGGAAAGAACGUGUUAUGUAUUGAAUUGGGUUGCCCAGAAGAUGAGACAUUACUUGACAUCCUAUAUAAUAUAUCUCAUCUCCAGAAUGGAUCCUCUGAAGUACAUAUUCCAAAAUACCAUGCCUACAGGAAAAUUGGCCAAAUGGCAAAUGCUAUUGAGUGAGUUCGACAUUGUAUGCGUGACUCAAAAGGCGAUCAAAGGGAAGGCCCUAACGGAUCAUCUAGUAGAAAAUCCAAUUGAUGAAGAGUAUGAGCCACUCCAAACUUAUUUCUCAGAGGAAGAGGUAUUGUUCGUAGGGGAGGACAUUUCCAAAAUAUACUCGGGCUGGAGAUUAUUCUUUGAUGGGGUGGUUAAUUUCAAGGGUUCGGGAAUUGGAGUAGUCUUAAUAUCAGAAAAUGGUCAACAUUAUCCAGUUACCACCAAGAUGCGCUUCCCAUGCACCAAUAAUAUUUUUGAAUAUGAGGCUUGUAUUCUCGGUCUUAGACUGGCUAUUGAUAUGAAUAUUUGAGAGCUACUAGUCAUUGGAGAUUCUAAUCUAUUAGUUCACCAGGUUCGGGGUGAAUGGGCCAUAAAGAACCCUAAAAUCAUGCUAUACGUGGAAUUGGUACAUAAGUUACGCAGAAGAUUCAAGGAAGUAGAAUUCAAGCAUAUUCCAAGAAUAAAAAAAUGUGUUUGCUGAUGCUUUGACCACUAUACUCUCCAUGAUUCAGCAUCCUGAUCAAAUUUACAUUGAUCUAUUGGAAAUAAGUGUGAAGGAGCAACCUGCAUAUUGUGCACAAGUUGAUGCAGAACCAGACGGAAAGCCAUGGUACUUUGAUAUCAAGAGGUAUUUGGAAACCAGAGCAUACCCAGAAGAUUCAAUCGUCAAUCAGAAGAAAAUGAUCCGUCGUAUGGUCGAUAAUUUAUUUUGAAUGGGGAAAUCCUUUACAAGAGGACCUCGUACUUGGGAUUGCUGCGAUGUGUAGAUUCCAUUAAAGCUACAAAAUUAAUUGAAGAAAUUCACGCCGAAACAUAUAGACCUCGUAUGAAUGGAUUUAUUCUAGCCAAGAAAAUCCAGAGAGCCGGCUAUUUUUGGAUGACUAUGGAAAGUGACUAUAGCAAGUUUGUGCAAAAUUUAUAAGUGCCAGAUACAUGGGAAUCUGAUUCAGGUGCCCCCACACGAACUUAAUGUUAUGAGCUUGCCCUGGCCGUUUGUAGUUUGGGGCAUGGAUGUCAUCGGCCUGAUUGAGCUACCAACUUCCAAUGGAUAUAGAUUUAUUUUAGUUGCUAUCGAUUACUUUACCAAGUGGGUAGAAACUGCCUCAUAUUAAGCGGUAACCAAGAAGGUGGUAGUAGAUUUUUUCAAGAACAACUUGAUUUGCCGAUUCGGGAUACCUGAAUCAAUCAUCACAGAUAAUGGAGCAAACUUGAAUAGUCAUCUGAUGAUAGAGAUAUAUGAAUAAUUCAAGAUCCUUGAUCAAAACUUAACCACAUAUUUCCCUCAAAUGAAUAGAGCGGUAGAAGCUUCCAACAAGAACAUCAAUAAAAUCUUAAGAAAGAUGGUUAAUAGUCAUCGAUUAUGGAACGAUAUGCUACCUUAUGCCUUGUUGGGAUAUCGCACGACAGUCAGAACUUUGACUGGGGAAACUCCUUUUGCGUUAGUCUAUGGGACAUAAGUAGUGAUACCUGCUGAAGUUGAAAUACCAUCUUUAAGAAUAAUCCAAGAAGCAGGAUUGAGUAAUAAAGAAUGGGUCUGCGCCCGUCAUGAACAACUUAUGAUGAUUGAUGAAAAAAUAUAAGUGUUAUAUGCCAUGGCCAACUAUAUCAAUAACGUGAUUCGUGGUUUCAAUAAACGAGUAAGAGCUCGCACAUUUGAAGUUGGACAAUUGAUGAUCAAAUGCAUAUUCCCUCACCAAGAGGAGUAUAAAAGAAUGUUCGCUCCAAAUUGGCAGGGGCCAUAUGUAGUCUGAAAAGUGUUAUCAGGAGGAGCCUUGAUUUUGUCUGAAAUGGAUGGCCAAGGGUGCACCAACCCAACUAAUUCUGAUGCAGUAAAGAGAUACUAUGUCAGAUGUGGGGUUUCUUUAUGCUUAUUUCCUUGUAAUUGCUUUUCUCAUUUGUAAUCGUUCUUAUGCUUUGUAGUAGAUUUAAAAUUUUCCCUCCUUUUAUGUAUAAACUGCGUUUGACCUGAAUUUCCGAGAAGAGGAUACGUAGGCAGCCUACGUCGGCUUAGGUCAACCAUUUAGAAAUUUUAUUUAUGCUCUCUUGAACUACAUGAUGACCUGAAUUCCCAAGGACGGGAUACGUAGGUGGCCAUAUCGGCUUUGGUCACCCUUUUAACUAUAUUUUAUUUUCUUACAUUGUGGGAACUACAUUUGACCUGAUUCCUGUUUAAUGGGAUACAUAGGUGACACAACGACUCAGUCAUAUCACCCCAGAAAAUGAAAAUUGGGGCAGAAUUUUUGUGAAGGAAUCUCAAAAAAUUCAAAAGAAGAAGAUCAUCCUCUUGCAAGCCAAAUUGAAUUUUGAGAGAGAUAUAAGUAAAUGGGUAGAAAUUUUAAGGCAGACCUUAAAAUUUCCACCAUACUGUACUAAAGAACUCAAAGAUGACAACAAAGAUUUCGGUGUCGAAAGAGUAGAGUCAACUUCAUAGACCCUCAGCUACAAAGGCUCAAUACCUUUAGCCAAGAAUAUUCAUUAAAGCUCGUAUGUGACAUGACUUAAUUGGAAGAUACCCUUCCCAAUCUUAUAAAAGAUUUUGAAAAUUCAACUAUUUGUAGAAACACUUACUUUAAAUUAAUUUAUGCUAUAAUUUUUCCUUACAUCCACCAGCUCGGGGAGUCAAAGCAGGAAUCAAAAGAUGACAAACACCUGAAGAAGAUAGGAAUCGAAAAAUGACAAUGACAAGAGCUGAAGACCGAAGAAGUCAACACUGAUAAAUUUUAUCAAAAAUUAACAAUUUUUCUAUGGAUGCAGGUUAUCCUGAAGCCAACAAAAACCAACAAAAAUGCUAAUUAUUCACUAUAUUUCUUUUGUUUUAAGGAAUACAAGAAAGACAAACACCCAAAGUCUGACAAGAAAGAGUCAGGAUGGUCAGGAGCUGAAAACAACUGAGUUUCCCAAAACUAACAGGCUUUCUGUGGUUGCCGGUAUCAUUAAACAUGGAAAGAGAAAUAUGACUUACUUACAUCCCCAACAAAUCAAGGAUGGAUGUUUGAAAUGGUAGGUGCAGAAGGUUCAAAAUGCUAGUGGAAUGGUCAAGGUAAUGUUUUCUACAAUCGCUGCACGAUUAUUUGCAUUCCUCCUUAUCUUUCUACUGCAUCAUAUCAUGCCGAGAGGAACAUGCCAUGAGGGACAUGCCAAGAGGGUCAUGCCAUGAGGGACAUGCCAAGAGGGUCAUGCCAAGAGGGUCAUGCCGAGAGGGCCAUGCCAAGAGGUCCAUAUCAAGAGGUCCAUGCCGAGAGGGCCAUGCCAUAAGGGCAAUAUCGAGAGGGCCAUUCCAAAAGGAUCAUGUCGUAAGGGUCGUGUCCUAAAAAUCAUAUUGCCUUCACCGAUUAGUUUCGUAGAGACAGCAAUCCAAGGGCUUAUCUGUAAGUCACAUUUUUUGAAAUAAGAUAGAGUGCAAGAUUAUCCACGAGUUGAAAACCCAUGGGUCAUCUGUAAGCUGCAGCAAUAUCCUAACCGGACAGUGUGCAAGGUUACCCAAACAUCGAAAUUUUAAAAGUUAUCCAUAAGUCACAACUAAAUCCUUACCGAAAAAUAUGCAAGAUUAUCGAAACUAAUAGGUCCAAGGGUUCUCUAUAAUCCGCGUCAUAUCCAAGAUCGAUUAUGCACAGGAUUACCCAAAGACUACCAAUUUCAGAGACAUCUAUAAGUCAUACUGUAUCAAAGGUCGAAUAAUGUGUAGGAAUAUCUGAUAGCUAGAGAUUUGAGGGAUAUCUGUAAGUCAUCUCUUAUCCAGGGUCGGAUAAUGUGCAGGAUUGCUCAAAAGCUAAUAACUUAAAGGAUAUCUGUAAGUCGUCUCAUAUCCAACAUCAAAUAAUGCGCAAGAUUAUCCAAAGAUUGACAAUUCAAGGAAAAUCUAUAAGUCGUAUCGAUACGAGAGAUGUGCAAGAAUCCCGAAGUCAAAUACAAGAAGCAUUAUAGGUAACCAAAAAGGUUACCACAUCAGCAUAAAAUUACGCAAUUUCAGGGACCACUCUAUACAAAGUGUCGUCGGUGCCCAAGAGGGCCACCCCACUUUGAAGAAAAUUUUCAACCAUCAAAACAAACACUUUAUCUAACAACAAAAGGUUUAUUGUGUCGAUUAUCACAAGAAUUAUCACACUCUAAACAGGUACAUAAGAGGAUGACGUCUUCGUCAGGUAGCAACUCACACAGAGAUAUAGUAAAAGGCUAUAAAUCCCUUAGUGAAUUAUGUUUAUCACUAACAAUUUUGUUUGAGAUGUUGUCGAGAGCAUCCGAAAAGGAUGAAAAUAUCAAACCAAAAUUAUAGGUGCGGACGACUCCAAAAAGGACGCACUACAAUGUGGAACUUUUUCUUAGCAGCGAACUGGAACAUAGUACAAAGAGGAAUAUCAAACUCUUUGAACGCGAGCUAAAAGACGACUUCCACCACAACCAAACCACAUCCCUAUCAGAAGGCAUAGGGGUAUUUUAGAAUUUUUAUUUUAGAUUCACUCUCGAGAUAUUUUUAAACUCAUACCGAGGGUAAUCUUUUCUUCCCUUCAAAUCUAGUGACAACACACUCAGAGUUUUUGAAAUUAUGUCCGAGUAAAAUCUUACCUAUGGAUGUGAAUAGCUCCAUAUUCAUGGUUAAGAGAUUACAAGCCUCUUUUCUGCAACUCAAUCAGCUUGUCACACAUCCCAAGCCAAAAAUUAUCUAAAAUAAAAGACUAUUUUUCUACCGAUUGAGCCGAACUACAAGCAGUCUGAUUCCCUGAGUCUCAGGGAUAUGUACGCUGAAAUCUAUAUAGAAAAUUCGACUGCAUUUCAACCUCUCCCAAUCCGCUUAUUCUCCAGCAUUCCGAUUUUACUAAAAUUCAAAACCAAAGUAGUUCGUGAAUACUUUGAAAAUCAUGCUUUAAACCAAGCUUUAUGAACUAAAAGAGGCAUGAAUUCUCAUGUAAACUGAGAUAUGUAGGAAACCUGAUACCAGAGUCCGGCCAUAACCCCAUAAAACUCAUGUGAAAACCAAUCUCUUCCAGAAAUGAAUUUAUGGUUGGACAAAAAUUAGAAAUGUCAAACUCACUUUGCCUAGGGUUACUUGCAUCCACCCUACCCAAAGGGAGGGGGCAGUUGUUGACACCUAAUUUUUGCCCUCCACGACUAAGUUUGACCCUGAGUUUCUUCUCUUUUAAAUAAAAUUAUAACAUUUAUUUUAUCCAAAUAAAAAAAUUCUUUCAAGUAUUCAUCUAGAUAAUUCAGUUAUCUUAAGUAACAAUUAUAUGUUUUUGUAUCCAUACAUACGAGAUUGUGUAAUUUUGUUACUCAAAUAAUUAUUUCACAAAAAUUAAAUUUUAAUCAAGGGUUAUCUUGAAAAUUGAUUCAAAUGGUUAAUAUCUUGAUUUAAAUAUAAUUUAGUCUUAAAAAUAUUUUGAAAAAAUAUUUAUUUGAUUUUAUUAAAUCAAGAAGCUCAAAAUUAAACUAAUUGUUAAUUUAUUUUGAAUUUUGAUUCAAUUUAGUCGAUUAAUUGAAUUUGGUCAUAAUUGAAAUUAAUUAGAUUACAAUUCUAAUGCAAUUGACAACCUAAAUUUUUAAUUUGGCUAGCUAUUAAAUUAAAUUGACAAAAUUAAAAAUACCCAAAAAAUAACCUAAUCUAUCUGACCACCCCUUUCAUUCAUUUGGGCUGGCCUGCCCAGCUGUGCAGUCCAACAGCAACCAACCCAUCAGACCAAAAUGCCCCCCAGUCGACUAGCCCACUCUAAAAACCUUAACCCGACCCAUAACCCUUUAACCUUUCUUAUCCACAUAAAAAAACAAACGACAACAACAGCUUUCAACCUCUAGCGUACAAACAACAUCGACCAACGACUUUAAUACCAACAGACCAGCAAAACCCAGCCACGAACAAUGCCGGCAACCCGUCAAAUCCGACGAACCAACCAAUUCCGACAAAAAACCUGACUCUGACCCGAACCCGUUCGGCUUCAAAUCGAAUCUCAUUCAAUCCAACGACAAUGACCCUCAAAUCAAAAAAAUCUCUCUUUUCAUCUUAUCUCUGAAUUUUGCAGACCUCGAACCUCGACAUUUGACUUUUGUUCAAGAUGGGUGUGCACUUUGCUCCAAAAUCUCAUCCAAAUUAGAAGCAUCACAAUCAAUCCAAAUUUGUGGGAUAUGUUUUCACUCUUUUUGUCAAAUCCCCAACCACUUCCUGUCACUAAAACAGACUCUAUUUUAAAUUUUAAUGGAGAUUUUUUUGAUAUAAAUAGGAGCGGAUGCUUUCAUUUGAAGGGAUUCUUAGGGGAAUAUUUGGAAAAAAAUUGGAGAGUUUGAAGGAGCGUUCCUUUAAUCCCACGUAAUCAAGAAUUUCAGAAGAAACUAUUUUAAAACUCGAUCCCAGCGAAAAUUGAACUCCUACAAAUUGGAUUCGAAAGUCCGGUGGUGAAAGCUCCGUCGUGAUAGGCUCUUCUGUCCUAGUUUGCUUCCCC
RNAcentral lists this long non-coding RNA (32926 nucleotides) under Capsicum annuum. RNAcentral describes it as "long non-coding RNA (CANN_LNC003148)". Lineage: Eukaryota; Viridiplantae; Streptophyta; Magnoliopsida; Solanales; Solanaceae. The record is from RNAcentral.